UCGUUUCAUAAGUUUUACCAAAAGGUUGAUGGAGAGAGAAAAUAGAGAGAUAGAGAGCAGAGAAAGAAAGAAGAAGGAGAUUCAAGAGGAGCAAAGCUUAGGAAGAAAAAUAGAAGAGCAAAUUGAAGCCCUAGUUUAAGAUUUUCGGAGAUUGAGGUAAGGGGGAUUGGUUUGUUUUCAUAAUAAGCUAUAAUCACUUUUAUGACAUUUGGGUCAUGUUUGUUUUGAUGAAUUUUGUGAAUUUGAUGUUUUGCUAAAUUAAUUUUCGUGCUCUUUUUCAUGUGAUAAUUUUGGGUAUGUGAAAAGUGUUGAAAAAUUGUUGUUGAUGCAUGACAUUCAUUGUUGAUAUAUGCUAACUUGUUUACUUUGAGAAUUUAACUUAAAUUGGUGAAACUCGUGAUGAUGUUGAUGAUUAUUGUUGAUUUUAUGACCUAUGUGCUCUAAAUGUUAUUGGGUAUGUGUUUCAUUGUUGUGUUUUGUGAGAUUUUGUGAAAAUGGGUAAAAAGAGGUGCAUUAUGAUUUUGAUGAUUUUGUGAGGAUUAAUGAAGUUGUUGUUGUGAGAUAGAUUGAUUAGAAAUUCUUAUUUGGAUCAAAGGGUUUCAUUGAGGAAUGCUGGGAGAAAAACGGGUUAUUAAGCUAAAAAGGAAAAAUGUAAAAAUAUUGAAAUGAUUAAUUUGUCCUUAUAAGAAAAUGAUUUUUCAUGAUUUGAAUAAGUGAUAAAAAUAUCUUAAAUUUUUUGUCAAAAAAAAAAGAAGAAAGAAGAUCUUAAAUGUCUACUUCUUUUUUUCAUCAUCUUCAUCAUCAACAUCAUACUUUCAUCAUAAAAUUCAAACAUAUACCUGUAAAAAAAUGGAGAAAAUGAAAUUAAAAACAACCCAGAAUCAUUAACUUCAUUGUCAUCUUUUCAUUCUCAAAUUUUUUUAUUCACCAUCAAGAACGACAACAAUCAACUCCAAAUGAUAAAAAGAGAGAAAAUUUUAAAUCUAAAAUGUGAAAGGAAAAUAAUAUAAUGAAAAGAAAAAAAAACUGAAAAGUUAGAGAGAGAAUGAGAGUAAGAAUAAUGAAUAAAUAAAUUUUAAAAGUAAAAAAGAGAAUAGCAGUAGAAACAUAGAAAAUAAUAAUAAUUUUAAAAGUAUAAAAGAAAAGAGAAAUGAUUAAGAACAAAAAAAAAAUUGGUUAAAAAAGAAUAAAAAGGAAAAAUAUUGAAAUGAUUAAUUUUCCCUUAUAAAAAAUUGAUUUUUAAUUAUUUGAAUAGGUGAAAAGUUUUUCCAGUUUAACCAGACCAUAAGAAAUUAAAAAUGAAACAUAAGGAACAAGAUUCAAACAUAAGAGAGUAACAAGCUGCAUGCAUGGUGCUAAAUUAGCAUAUUAUUGAACCAAAGAAUAAUCAACUUCGUCUUGUUGAUUUUGAUAACACCAAUCUAGCCAAUAAAGUUGUGAUCAUGGGGAAGUCGAAAAAUAUAAACAGAUGCAUUUCCUUAUUUAAUUACUACUCCAUGAAUACACUUCACAUUUUGCAUGUACAUUAUUAAUACAGUACACACAUUUUCUUUUAUAUCGCCACUUGCCUGGAUUGCUCAGCACAUUGCAUUUGUGUUGUGAUAAAAACAAUGCAAGGUCACCCAAAGUUUCUAGCUUGACAUAACUCAUCGUUGAGAAGUCUAUCAUAUAGACAUCCAAUAAUUUAUUUUGUUUAAAGAAAACCACAAGAAGCUUCCCAUCACAACUAAGUAAUUAGGCAAAAAGGAUGGUCCAUUGGGCGAAUUUUUUAGCUCUAGAAAUUUUAAACUUGUAGAAUUUAAAUUAAGUACACCUAUCUCAACCUUGUAAGUGACAACAUAAAUAGUAUUAUGCAAAACAACAAAAUCCAAAACAAUCCACAGAUUUCCGCAUUUGGAUAAGUAACCCAAUUAGAAUAUCGAGACUGAUAAACAUGCAAACUACUUGAGUUUAUGCAAUAAGUGUCUAUGACAAAUUCAUUUCAACCUUUCACAAAAGUAUGUAAUACUCGAGAAUCGUAACGAAACAAAUAAUCUUCAAUAGCUGAGGUGUCAAUGAUAAUUUGUUUUCUUAUAAAUGGAUUCAUUAAUUGUAGUUUAUUGGUACCUUUCAUGUUGAGAUAGCCACUACACGAACUCAAAUAGGAUAAUCCCCAAAAAUAACUCAUCUUAGCGCGGUAAGCUCGUUUUUCAAGUAUGCUAUAAAAAGAACAAUAUUUAUUUACAUAUGAAGUUUUUUGAACAAAUAGUGGUUAUUGUGAUACCAUGAAAAUUCUCCAAUAAAUUUUUUGAACUCUCCUCCACUCUUUACAAACACUAGAAAAUUGAAAUAAAUCAUCAAAAUCUAGUUUUCGGGAUACGGUAUCAAGCAUAUUAUCUGAAAGUUGGCUGAAGUCAACAACACUUUUCUCAUUGAGUGUAACAAUGGUGCCAUCUAUGUUAUGAGAGUAAUGUGGUUUUGCUUCGAAGUUAACAAUUAUAUGAUAGAAAAUAUUUUUACGAUCUAUUUCAAUAUGGUGGUUUGCAAGGAGUGGAGCAGAGUUCAAAAAAAUUAUUGGAGAAUUUUCAUGGUAUCACAAUCACGACUACUUGUUCAAACAACUUCAUAUGCAAAUAAAUUUUGUUCUUUUUAUAGCAUACCUGAAAAACGAGCUUACCGCGCUAAAAUGAGUUAUUUUUUGGGAUUAUCCUAUCUGAGUUCGUGUAGUGGAUAUCUCAUCAUGAAAGGUGCCAAUAAACUACAAUUAAUGAAUCCAUUUAUAAGAAAACAAAUGAUCAUUGACACCUCAGCUAUUGAAGAGUAUUUGUUUCAUUACGGUUCUCGAGUAUUACUUACUUUUGUCAAAGGUUCAAAUGAAUUUUUCAUAGAGGAUUAUUGCAUAAGCUCAAGUAGUUUGCAUGUUUAUCAGUCUCGAUAUUCUAGUUGAGUUACUUAUUCCAAAAGCGGAAAUCCAUGGACUGUUCUGGACUUUGUUGUUUUGCAUAAUACUAUUUAUGUUCUUACUAACAAGGUUGAGAUAGGUGUACUUAGUCUGAACUCUACGAUUUGAAAUUUCUAGAACUGAAAAAUUCGCCUAAUGGACCAUCCUUUUUGCCUAUGGUACUUAGUUGUGAUGGGAAGCUUCUUGUGGUUUUCUUUAAACAGAAUAAAUUAUUGGAUGUCAACAGGAUAGACUUUUCAACGAUGAGUUAUGUCAAGCUAUAAACUUUGUGUGACCUUGCAUUGUUUUUCUCACAACACAAAUGCCAUGCGCUGAAAAAAACCAUGCAAGUGGGGAUAUGAAGAGACUAUGUGUACUAUAUUAAUACUAUACAUACAGAAUGUGUAAGUGUUUUCAUGGAGUAAUAAUUAAAUGAUGAUCCCCGUGAGCUUAGCUCAGUUGGUAGGGAUAUUGCAUAUUAUAUGCAGGAGCUGGGGUUCGAACCCCGGACACUCCACUUCUCCACAAUUAAAUUGUGUGAGCUCUAGCCACUAGGCUACUUGACCAAAAAAAAAAAAUUAAAUGAUGAAAUGCAUUGUUCCUGCUCAUAGUUGUCGACUUCCGCAUAGAUCACAACUUUAUUGGCCGGAAUGGUGUGUUCAAAAUCGAUACGAUGAAGUUGAUUAUUCUCUGGUUCAAUAAUAUGCUAAUUUAGCACCAUGCAUGCAGCUUGUUACUCUCUUAUUUUUGAGAUCUUGUUCUUUCUAUUUCCUUUUUAAUUUAUUAUACUCUGAAUAAACUGGAAAAACUUGUCUUGAACUUUAUAGUUUCAUUAUCUUUUGUCAAAUUAUUUUGGCUUUAGAUGACUUAUAAACUCAAUGAAUUUUUUGUUUAUAUUAUAUUUUCUCUAAAGUUUUAAUGUUUGAAAUGGUCAUAUGAAUUUAUUUCAUAAGAUUCGUUUGAGUGUCUUGUUUUAAUAUUUCAAAGAUGUGUUAAAGUUAUUUGAGAAGAGAUGUAGUUUGGUUUUGGAAAUCCAGUGGUUUACAUAUGGGUCGUCACUGCAAUUUGGACUCGUGGUCAUGUUUGUCGAUUCAAUAGAUUGAUCAUGUGUCGUCACUCCAACCUGUCAUAAUCAUGUCGUUUGCUAUUCAUACACUCUUCAUGUAAUUCAAUUGGUUUGUGAUCCUUUGAAUGUGUUUGUCAACUUGAUCAGAUUGAUUACGAAAUUAUUGAGUGGGUAUUAGUACAUUGAGUUGCUUCAAAACCUUCAAGAAGGCAACUUUGCUGCUGAUUGUUUGGCUAGAUUGGAUGCAGGGGUGACCUUGAGAAUGCGCAAGCUGGGUGGCUGCCCAGUGCCCAAUAUUUUCAAAGGGUGCUGAAAUUAAUAUUUUUACUUAUUAGUUAGUGGUAUAUACAUGUAUUUCUUUUUAACUUGCUUUGAAUAAUUCUAUAAAAUAAAUAUUUAAUGUUAAGUUAUUAAUUAUGUGGAUAAUGAAAUAAUUGAUGUAUUUUAAAAUAUGAGAGUUAAGUCAAAGGAAGAGAACGCCCAAUCACACACGUCCGAUUUAGACAAGCUUUGUACCCCAAGCAAGAGUCUUGGACACCAAGAUUUGGUGCCCAUAUUUUCCACGCAAUGGCAUGUUACAAAGUUUGAGAAUGUCUUUUAACCUUUCAUGAUAUUUCAUGAUAAAGGGUAACCAAACCUGCAAAGCCAAGAAUUGAUGAUCAAAGAAGGAGGGAAUUGAACUGAGUAUCAAAAACGGUCCUGACAGAGAUUAAGCACCAUAACAAAUGAUUGCAUUGUAAUCUGGUUUGAAGCAAAUCUGACACUGAAUUAUUGUUAUAGUUAUAGUUGCCAUCGUAUCUGUUCUAGUUAAGACAUUAAUGGCUCUCUUGAUGUUUAUUAUUUAUAUUUUCUUUGAAAACAUUUGUAUUUUGUAAUAACUUAUUGCAUAAUAACUGUAUUGAUUUUCUAUUAUAAACUUGUUUGUGUAAACGC
This 4919-nucleotide long non-coding RNA is filed under the name Medicago truncatula (barrel medic). RNAcentral's name for it is "long non-coding RNA (MTRU_LNC007303)". Lineage: Eukaryota; Viridiplantae; Streptophyta; Magnoliopsida; Fabales; Fabaceae. The record is from RNAcentral.